RNAcentral lists this ribosomal RNA (711 nucleotides) under uncultured bacterium. RNAcentral's name for it is "bacterial SSU rRNA". It matches the Rfam family "Bacterial small subunit ribosomal RNA", at positions 105 to 801 of the family's 1533-position model. The record is from RNAcentral.
GGUGAGUAACACGUGGGUAACCUGCCUGUAAGACUGGGAUAACUCCGGGAAACCGGGGCUAAUACCGGAUGGUUGUUUGAACCGCAUGGUUCAAACAUAAAAGGUGGCUUCGGCUACCACUUACAGAUGGACCCGCGGCGCAUUAGCUAGUUGGUGAGGUAACGGCUCACCAAGGCAACGAUGCGUAGCCGACCUGAGAGGGUGAUCGGCCACACUGGGACUGAGACACGGCCCAGACUCCUACGGGAGGCAGCAGUAGGGAAUCUUCCGCAAUGGACGAAAGUCUGACGGAGCAACGCCGCGUGAGUGAUGAAGGUUUUCGGAUUGUAAAGCUCUGUUGUUAGGGAAGAACAAGUACCGUUCGAAUAGGGCGGUACCUUGACGGUACCUAACCAGAAAGCCACGGCUAACUACGUGCCAGCAGCCGCGGUAAUACGUAGGUGGCAAGCGUUGUCCGGAAUUAUUGGGCGUAAAGGGCUCGCAGGCGGUUUCUUAAGUCUGAUGUGAAAGCCCCCGGCUCAACCGGGGAGGGUCAUUGGAAACUGGGGAACUUGAGUGCANAAGANGAGAGUGGAAUUCCACGUGUAGCGGUGAAAUGCGUANAGAUGUGGAGGAACACCAGUGACGAAGGCGACUCUCUGGUCUGUAACUGACGCUGANGAGCGAAAGCGUGGGGAGCGAACAGGAUUANAUACCCUGGUAGUCCACGCC